UACAGAGGAUGCAAGCGUUAUCCGGAAUGAUUGGGCGUAAAGCGUCUGUAGGUGGCUUUUUAAGUCCGCCGUCAAAUCCCAGGGCUCAACUCUGGACAGGCGGUGGAAACUACCAAGCUGGAGUACGGUAGGGGCAGAGGGAAUUUCCGGUGGAGCGGUGAAAUGCGUAGAGAUUUGGAGGAACACCAGUGGCGAAGGCGACUUUCUGGUCUGUAACUGACACUGAGGCGCGAAAGCGUGGGGAGCAAACAGG
RNAcentral lists this ribosomal RNA (253 nucleotides) under uncultured bacterium. Its description in RNAcentral is "partial 16S ribosomal RNA". It matches the Rfam family "Bacterial small subunit ribosomal RNA", at positions 524 to 776 of the family's 1533-position model. The record is from RNAcentral.